This 272-nucleotide ribosomal RNA is filed under the name uncultured prokaryote. RNAcentral describes it as "partial 16S ribosomal RNA". It matches the Rfam family "Bacterial small subunit ribosomal RNA", at positions 524 to 794 of the family's 1533-position model. The record is from RNAcentral.
UACGUAGGUGGCAAGCGUUGUCCGGAUUUAUUGGGCGUAAAGGGAGCGCAGGCGGUGACUUAAGUCUGAUGUGAAAGCCCACGGCUCAACCGUGGAAGGUCAUUGGAAACUGGGUCACUUGAAUAUAGAAGAGGAAAGUGGAAUUCCAUGUGUAGCGGUGAAAUGCGUAGAGAUAUGGAGGAACACCAGUGGCGAAGGCGGCUUCCUGGUCUGUAACUGACACUGAGGCGCGAAAGCGUGGGGAGCAAACAGGAUUAGAUACCCGGGGUAGU